Molecule: long non-coding RNA, 1064 nt
Organism: Astatotilapia calliptera (eastern happy)
Lineage: Eukaryota; Metazoa; Chordata; Actinopteri; Cichliformes; Cichlidae
Source: Ensembl
CUCGUUUCUUUCUAAAUGGAUCGGGCGUGGGCAAAACUGGAGAGGAAGUGGUGGGCAAGACCCUAGGGGCUACAUUUGUCAGAUUGGGACUGUCAGAAGGGGGCGAAGCUUUUGAACUUGAAGGUGUCAUAAGUGUCGGGGGCCCUUCACAGAUCAGGAUUAUGCCAAUGGGAAUGAGACCCAGGGCCAGGAAGCAAACAAAGACGCAACAUCUUUGCCUGCCUGUCAUUUCAGGGGGAAAGGGCCAAGACAUGUUUACUUAGCUUGGAUGUCGUCUAAUAGAGGAUGAUGGGGCACAGAAAGGUGGUCCAGUUCCCCCCACCUCGCCAAGGGCGUGUUCUAGGAGUUAAAGAGCAACAACCUGCAAUCUAGAGAGAGAGAGAGAGAGAGAGAGAGAGAGAGGGAGAGCGAGAGCGAGAGCCCCUAAUGGCCAGUUAGUGGGCUCUAGGUCAAACUGUCCCCAAAUUUGUUAUUUGUUAUCAUUACUUGUUUUCAUGUCACUUGUCUGUUUUCUACUGCACCCCUCUCACCAAAGCAAAGCAAACAUUAGCAGCACAUUGACCGUAGUCAGGCAUCCUCAUUCCAUAGGUGCUAUAAAACAUUUCCUGUAAAUACAGUGUAAUAGCAUCCCCAACUCCUAACCCAUAAACACCGUUUCUUCACACAUCCGCCCAGAAAUCCUGUAAUAGAAAAACAUUAAAACUGUAACCCUGUAGGGAAGAAAAUGUAAAUGGUAACGCUGCGCAGUUAUCUCUGUAAGCAACACAAGACACAAAAAUGGCAUUUACAGGUUCACUAAUCCUCGAAUAUUUUGUCAUCCUUCUACUCCUGUAAAAGAAACCCACAUAAAUUCAUCCACCCUUUUAUCCUAUCUAGGUGGAGGUGGUUAACCUUGAGUCAUGGUCAAGUCUUGUCAUCUUUUACCAGUCAGUCCGUUUGUUUUUAUUCCCAGUCUUUCAUCCAUUCAUCCGUUCUUUGCUGAUAGUGAAACCCGUCGUCGCAUCUAGUUUCCACACUCAGCAAAAUGACGUCAUCUCAAAAAGAAACAAGAACUUGAGUUUGGA